This 608-nucleotide long non-coding RNA is filed under the name Ananas comosus (pineapple). Its description in RNAcentral is "long non-coding RNA (ACOM_LNC025266)". The record is from RNAcentral. Lineage: Eukaryota; Viridiplantae; Streptophyta; Magnoliopsida; Poales; Bromeliaceae.
AGUACAGAUUCCGUGCUUUCGAAAAUACGGAGGUAUCCGUGCUUAUAAAUUAUUUUCGAUUAUAGGACAUCCAAUUCGACGAUCGGCUUCGUUAGGCAUAAUUUACGCUAUUGGAACUAUCUAGAAAUCAAAUUUUACAAUUUUUCGACAUCAUUUACCAAGCGAUUACGGGGUCUCAAAAAUGACUAUUUUAACGGCUGAUAUGGCACGUUUUUAAAUUCAACGGUGUAGAAGUUUCCAAAUUAUAUAAAACUUUAAUAGAAAAUUCUACUUAACAUUAAGAAUAAGAACAAUACUUCCGAUUUGAAAAUUGAGUUUUUUAUCACUAUUUUUUAUGAGAUUUUUAUUUUUAGCCGUUCAUUUUGAGGCUACUCGUUCGUUCACUAGGCAAACAAAGUCAAAAAAUUAUGAAAUUUGGUUUCUAGAUAGUUUCAAUAGCGUAGAUCAUAUUUAACGGAACCGAUCGCCGAAUUAGAAGGCCCAUCAUCGAAAACAACUUACAAACACAGAAACCUCAAUACUUUCGAAAGUAUAGGAGUCUAGCUCCUAAAGUUACUAUCUACAUAUUUUAAUAGGUGAAAGAGUAGUAUUAAGUUAAUAAGAAUUUU